RNAcentral lists this long non-coding RNA (2365 nucleotides) under Xyrichtys novacula (pearly razorfish). The record is from RNAcentral. Lineage: Eukaryota; Metazoa; Chordata; Actinopteri; Labriformes; Labridae.
GAGAGAACAAAGGGCGUCUUGCUUCACCAGAGGUGGCAGAGACGUUGUGCAAGGAGACGCCGGGCAUUAAUGCAAAGGAAUGUCUUUAACACAUUGUCAGCAUGUUUGUUGAACAGAAGAACACCCAGGUAUUUAAUAUUAUAGCAACCCUGCAAUAAUGUUCUGGUUCUGAUGUUUGGUGUUAUGUGUCAUUUGUUUUUAGUUAUUUAUGUACCUGUGGAAAUAACACGAUUGUAACUAAUGGUGCUCCCUCUUUCUUUUAUGUAUUUCUUACUUGAGAGUCGUGGCAGCUUUAAAUAAACAAAUCUUACCUGUGAGUCAAACACACAUCUCCUGCUUUUUCUUGAAUCUGUGAAUUGGCUUUGUAUAAGCGCAUUGAAAGAAAGGGUCUUUCCCUGGCCCUAGGGUUUUCUUCCAACCCUGUGUGUCCCGUCACAAUUAGAGCCCAGGAUCCUGUCAUAGAGGGCCAACAGCCUUCACUGUUAAACUGAAGUUUGCCUGACAGUGCUUGCUCUUGUAGCUCCUUAUAGUUCUACUUUUUAAUAGUGGAAGUUCGAAACAGAAAUUCAAAGCGCAGCUCAAACUACAGACCAAGAAAGCAGUUGUUCCUUGUUGACAUAAGUUUGCUUUUUAGUUGUUUCAUUUCACCGUUUCAUUAUUCAGAAACAGCUUAAACUACAUGGGAGGAAAGUAUGUCCUUCCACACUCUGAGGAGCUAUUUUGCAGGACUUGUUUGUGUAAUUUGACUUAUUUAUGAUGCUGUGUUGAUUCAAAAACAUUUAGACUGCAGUUGUAGGAAGUCAAAACUUUCUAGCCACACAAAGAAAAUUUACCUUUCUUCAAUUUGAACUCGGGACCUAUUUCUCAUGAGGCAUCAGCAUUUACCCGCCACACUAAGGUGGUAUUUGUUCAGGUUCGUAUGUCUCCUUUGUGUUGAAUCAAAAGCACAGGCCAGACCUCUGUGGAAGCAGCUUGGUCAUGCUAGCUUUAAAUGAAAAAUGAAAAAGUGCUUUUAGAGAGUGUAACCGUCCGGACAAGAGAAAGUGUAUGGCAGCUGGUGAAAAUUCCCAGUAUCCCCAAAAAUCCUGGAAUGAAAGGGGUUUACUUUCAAAGAGAGUGUACUGUCUGCAUGAGCAUACCAGGCUACCAAAAGCACUGGUAAAACAAACAUAUUUGACAUGUCAUUAGCUCCUGCCAUAUCAGCAGAGAUUUUCUAGCCACAGACAAUAAUACUAUUGGUUCUAUACAGUAAGUUGUUCUUGCAAAUAUUUGAGCUAUAACAGGAAACUAACUUUGAUAUAAGCUAGUACAAAGUUAAGCUAAAGGUCCACCGGGAUGUCAGCUUGCAAGUUCUGGGAUGCCUACAUUAGCUAUAGACCUUUUUCCCAGUACACGAAAGUUAGCAUUCUGCUCAUUUCCGGUGUUAGCGUGUGGUGGAGCCACUCAGCAUCGCCCAUGGACGGCCAUUAAUUUUUCACGAAAUGAACAAGCUCGCGACUCGUUUUUUUGAAAGGUAAUGUAAAAUUUUAUGCUUUGUGCUGUUUUACAAACUCCCGUUCUUCAUAAUACUGUCCGGAUUUUGUACUUUACUUUUCGGGAAUUAUGUUUAAUAGGUCAUUACUGAAGAGCAAUGGUUACCAUCAUCAGAAAAUUUCCAGACCUAUUAAACAUAAUUCCCGACAUCUCUACAUUACAUUUUCAUUGUACUUUCUGUUAGGUAAAAGAUGAUGAACAGGCCUCUUCCAGGAAGACAUCUACUGUGUGUUUAAAGGGAAUUGUGACAUUUAAUAUAAGUUGUAAAAUAAGAAUGACGAAUUGUCAAUAUUUUAGACCACUGUUUUAACCUAGAAUCUGACUGUAAAAUAUCACUAAACACUCCCAUUUCUUCACACUGGCCCUUGAAGGAUUCUUAACCAGAGAGAGCAAGUGCUGCACUUUCAAGUCAAGAAAUAAUGAAGUCUGAAAUCUGUGAUUUGGCUCCUUGAACUUCCUCAUUGCCACUUGAUUGUAAAAAUAGCUUCUUAUGCUGUUUUUCCUUCAGAAUGAAAGUGGCCAUCUCUGGUGGUUACUUGCAGCUUUGGAGAUUUUAUUUUUCCUUUUUGCACUCUACAAUCAGGACCAGAAAACAGGAAAGCAUCAAGAUAAAACAUUUUUUAUGUUGUUGAAUGUUCAGAGCUUCAGAGGAAAAUGAUGACAAUGGCUGUGGAUGCCAGCAGGAGGAGGAUAAGGGAGCAAGACGGGACGAUGCUGACACCAGAACCGAAGGGGAAAAGGGAGCCGAGACCAGGCGGCAAGAGGUCAGGACCGGAGGGUGUGGCACUGUUGCACAUGUCUCCCUCACAGCAUGUUAAAGGGGUGAUACAAC